Molecule: long non-coding RNA, 1006 nt
Organism: Nicotiana tabacum (common tobacco)
Lineage: Eukaryota; Viridiplantae; Streptophyta; Magnoliopsida; Solanales; Solanaceae
Source: RefSeq, a predicted model, not a curated record
UACAUUUUGGAUUGACAUGCACAUUUCCGUUUCAAAAAAAAAACAAAAAUCCAUUCUCACAAUUUUUUCCAAAAAAAAAACAGCUCACCACUCUUAUCCUCAUACUAAUACACUGCACGACACACACACAUGCUAUAUAUAUCUAGCACAGAGAGCUGCAUGAGGGGAGGAAAUAACAGGGAUUGGGGUUAAAAAACGGGAGAGAGGAAAAAAGAUCGAGAAAGUCUCCUUCUACUUCUUCAAGCAAAUCACAGUAGCCAUACAACAUUAAAAUUCCAUUUUUUCUUCAUAACUUCAUCAUAUAAAUCCCAUAGAAACUUAUCUCUUGUUCCAUAAAACCAGUCCCCAAAACUUUGAAGCUCCCAAAAUGGAGGCACCCCACCGAUUUGGAAGGAACCUUCAACAGCCAAAUCUCUGAUUUCUCAGAACACCCAACAACUUAAACACACACACACAUCUAACACAUACAAAAACGAAAAAACAGAGAAGGAAAAGGGUCGAGAUCACUUAAAUACGAAGGGGGAAAAGGAUCAAGAUCUGGAAAAUGAAGGGAACAAAAAAUCGAACAAACUUUCUCUUUCGCUUUCUUCCUCACUGACAGCAACCUUCACUGGUUUUCUUCAUCUCCCGUUCUCAAAAAUGCAGCAGCAAUUUUUAAGUUUGAGUUCCAUCGUGGUCGCCGGAGUAGUUUCGCGUUCGAGGUUCCGAUGUUGCUAGUUUCUUGUUCGAUCUUCGUUCCGAUAGUCGGGGAUUUGUUUGGCUCGGACAAAUAUCCAGGUGCCCGAGCGGCCGAGUGAGCAUUUUUCAGCUGGUUCAGUUUUCUGUCGGGGAUUUCGAGGUAGCUGCAUGGCGUUCGCAGCCCUGUUCUCUCCCUUCUAUCUUGUUAUCUUUUCAGUAUUUUCUAGACUAUCUAUGUAGUAGGAUGUUCGGACUUGCAUUAGAGGCUUUGGACUCGUGACACCAGAUCAGUUGGGCUGUGUAGUUUAUUGUUAUUUUGACUUCCGCA